Long non-coding RNA from Gallus gallus (chicken), 7489 nucleotides. RefSeq lists it as uncharacterized. NCBI's taxonomy places the organism in Eukaryota, Metazoa, Chordata, Aves, Galliformes, Phasianidae. The transcript is spliced from 4 exons. The record is from RefSeq and is a predicted model, not a curated record.
UGUUAUGACUAAAGAAUAAUCUGUAGCUGUGAAAUCAAGAAGCAGAAAUUUAUUAUUUAGUUCUUUUAGUUACACUGCUAUUAUCUAAUACUUAAUACUUCCAUUUAAUGUGCAUACAUGCAUCCAUCUCUGCUUUCUGUUUUUCUUGAUGGAUCCUAAGCACACCGACCAAAGUGAGACAUACUUUUAAUUGCCCUGAUCUAUUUUAGCAGAUUUUAGCAAGUUUUUUGUCACUUCAGUGUCUGAGCUCCUUUUGGAGUCAUAGAAACCAACAUGCUGCAGGAAGAACCAUCAGUCUUCCCAUCCUUGUUUCCAUGUUUCAUGCAUGUAUUUGUUAGGAGGAUCUACAGCACUCACUCAGGGCAUCUGGGAGAGUAAGCCUGAACAUUUUACCCGUUGGGGCUGGUAAAAGGCUUGGAAAAAGUGGAUACAGGUUAUGCUAGUUAUUCAUCUUGUCAACUGGACAAUUGAAGAAGCAAUAAUGUUAAGGAAAGUCUGCAGUUAGACCGGGCAAUUGGCCCAACCUCUGUCUUAUUUAAGAAGUUCACAAAGUGAAGAGUUGCCUCUGCCUUUUCCUCAGUGGCUUUGACUCUGCUCCGCUCCGCAUGAUGCACUGCAGCAAUCGGGCAUUACAGCAUCCGUCAGCAUCAAUUCUGCCACUUCCUUCUGUGUGGUGUUUGGCAGCCAAAGGUGUUUUAGUAGUGAGAACUGAAAACACUCACUGUACAAUGAUUAAAAAUAACAGCUGCUAGACCUGAGCAUUUAUAUAAAAUAGGAGCCUAAUGUUUCCUUAAAAAUCUUUUGUGUUCUCCUAGUGUUAUUAGUAAAGACACUAAAUUGCUGCUAUCAGCCCAUGAGCUUAUUUCCUAUUCACAAUUUUUUUCCUAAUGCACCCCUGUAAAUUUGCAAAAGUAAUUUUUCUUAAUAACAUUUUGCUUUAGAAAAAAAACCUUAAGAAAUAUUGUACGUCAUCUGAUGCAAAUUGCUCCAGGUCCAUUGACUUCAUCAGAGCUAUGAUGAUUUACACCAGAUGGCCCACCAUGUUUGAUAUUAUUACAUUAAGGUAUUGGCAUAUGUAUAAUUUGCUUUGUACUUUAUCAGUAGUAUUUGCUUUCUAUCAAAUCCAGUGGACUUUUGCAACCUCUACUCAUGGGAAUAAAAUCCAUUCCAUGUGAGUAAUUAUACUCUGUGAAGGAUAAAUACUAAAUAAUGCAGCUAAAAUUUAUUUGGUGAAGUUUUUGGGGGGCUUAAACCAUAUUUUAAGCAGAUCUGUAGUAUUAGGGCGUCGUGAUUAUGUCUGGUGUUCUUCAUGUAAUCUGUAUUUUCCUUUUUUUUACAGAAACCUAUACAUGUAACUUGAAAUGUGGUCCGAAAUUUACUCUAUCAUAAAUUCAAGCUAUGUAAAAUCAUAAAUUUCACCUGCAUUUCCUCUUGGACAAGAGACUUUUUUUCAUUAAUAGACAUAAAACCAUAGCAAGGUUGUCUUAUAGAUAAGCAAUUCUAUAUCUUAUAGUAAGGGGAAAUACAGCUAAAUCGCCUUCAUAAAUAGUCCAUAGCUUUCCAAAGAUGGCUUUUUGGUUUGGCAUAUUGACUUUGCAUUUAUGAGGCAAAUGUACGAGAACAUCUGGUUUGUUUUAUCAUUAAUUCUGGGAAUACCCAUUAAUAAUGCAUUUUUGGGAAUUGUUUUUGUUAUUCCUGGAGAGCACUGUAAUGAACAGUCCUAUGCUUGUUCUGUCAGGAGACAAAUUUUGGUUUAGAGGUUAUUUUGCAGACUUAAUUAUAUUAGUUGCUAUCUCCUUUUUAUUGCCAGAAAGUGUGCGUUAUUAAAAGAAUUGCUGAGAACGCUGCCAGUGGCCAUUGUGGAAACCUAAACUUCCUAGUAGUUUAGAAAAGAGACAUUUCGUCUUUUUCUGAAAAUGGAAUUCAGAGCUUUUUUUCCUGUACCUCUGGCCUGUAUUCAUACAAUCUUAGGAAAAACACGGAAUUAGCAACACACACCUUUUUUUGUUCCUUGUUAUUAAUCUAGCUAUGAAACCGUUAUUGGUGGAUAAACUGUCUGGCUGUUGGCAGGAAAAUGAGACAUCAAACACCCCAAUCUUCUUCUAGUAUUCCUAGCUCUGGUGUAGUUGGAUCAUAUAACUUUAUAAACCGAAGCAAGAUUUUCCCAGGUCACUUGGGCAAGCAGUGGUACGUGUUGUCCUGUGCUUGAAGACCACACCUAUGGCAGCUUGGCGUGGUUAAGCAGAAUCUGGAGCUCCCAUCAAAUCCCUGAAGAUGAAGGAGCUAUGGAACUCAGCACUGGAAAAACCGCAUUGUCUGGUGGUUAGGAGUAGAGUCAGUAAACAGAGAGUCUAUUCCCAACUUCGGUCUGACGCCCGAUCCACGCAAAGUGCCUCUGCUAUAUUUAUAGCAUCGCAAUAAUGAAUCUAGUGUGAAGCUAAUUAAGUUCACAUGCAAUUCUUUCCCUUAACUUCCUGGGCGUCAGAUCAGACCCACACACAUACACUGGGGGUUUCUACCUCAUGUCUGCUGUGGGCUAGACACCACCCUUUAAUCCAGUUCUCUUUCUACUUUCAUUCUGUUUAUUUACCUGAGAAAGAGCCUUGCAUAAUGCCAGCUGAGCAGAGGAGGGCAGGAGGAGGGCAGGACAGGAGGAGUGCAGGACAGUGACUGUGGCAGACGUCUGCAUGCACCCAUGGGAAACAGCAACACGUGACCGAACUCCCAGCAGCGGUGUCUGGGCUCAGAAACAGCGAGAAAAGCCAGAUCCAAAGCCAACAUUUAAUGGUUAAAGAAGCAGGAUUUUUUUUUUUUUUUCAUUACAAACUGAUAUUUUAACCCCAGACGCAGAUCAGCAGUCAUCUCUUUAGUUCAUUUUCCCAAGAAAAGGGCUAUAUUUCUUCAAUUGCUUAUGCACUCUACCAGCCCAGCUAUGUGUAUGACAUCACUUACUGCACUGACUUUAUAUUUUUCCAGGACCAUGUAUAGAAGCCUCUGAAGAGAUCAGCAGCUGGGGAACAUUUUGGAUAUCCAAAUUCCUAAUGACCCCAGAGUAGUAUUCCCAAACCUCUUGGCAGUUCCAAAUUUCAUGCCAAAAGUUGCCGGCAUCUGUCUUACAUUUUGAACAUUUGUCAUCGAUAUUCUUAUUUAAUUUAAACAUCCGCUUAGGGGGGUCACGUAUUCUCGGUGAAUAAAAUUAGCUGCAUGUAACCAAUCUGUGAAUUUGAGUUUAAUCAUAGAGCUCCGGUCUAGUUACAGAUGUCUUUGUCCACAGACUGUAGUUUACUACCGAAUGCCUUCCCCAUUAGCUUUGGGAUUAUCAAGCAAGGAUUUAUACCGUGUAGAAACCUUUUUCCUUUCUAAAUACAUAACUGAAUGCUCUCAGUGGGAGGAUUAAGUUCAGGCUCUCUGAAAGACCUACAGCUGGUUAUCUCCUUUAGUAAUGACUUUGCGAACCACACUAAGGUGAGGGGCAGGGCAUGGGCUCACUGCCUCAGGAACACAGCACAGCUCAAAUUGCCAAUGAAAGUCACAAUUCAGUUUCCACUCCAUCUUGUUCUGGGGAGGAGGAACAAGGUUGCCACCACCCAGUUUUCUGGGUCAGCUUAUUACCCGCUCCCACCCUGUCAGCUCUGCUGACUGAAGCUUUGGGGAUGCUGUUGGAGUUCCACUAGCUCUCCCUGUCUGUUCCUACUUCUGCUGCUGCUUUUGCUUGUGGUGCCUACUCACACCCUGCACAGGUGCAAGAAAAAGAAAAAUGAAAUGAAAAAUAACUGCGUUGCCCCGCUCUUAAAUGUCCUUGCUAGGAUGUGGUAAUUGGUCCCGAACUCUUCAAAUCUUUCUUUAUAUAAUAAACAUCCUGCACAGAUGUGAUUCCCAGCUCUUCACAUAGCAAAUGUUAAUUCAUUCAUUACCGCAGUUCAUUUUGGCACAGUUGUAGCUUUGAUCUGACAGUAACAGCGGUAUGCUAACAGUGCUUAAACACAAACAUUUUAAUUAAUAUUCUUACUUGUAUUCUAUCAACAUCCUCAAGGAAAAGGUUGAAGCAGGUUCUGAUAUAAAGCCUCUGCUCCCCAUCCUGGCAUAAAUUCUGUAUAUAUAUUUGUACAAAGUUUCGCCCAUAACACAUGCAAGCAAUUAUGAAUUAUGACCUAUCCUACAGAUGACACUGUGGUCCAUAAGCUUGAAUUUCCCACUGCCAUCAUUAGAACUAGAACCAACCCUCCUUAAGGAAGAAAUUAUUCAUUCAACUGCUGGAGCUGACAUGCCCCCCCGUCUACAGUAUCCAGCAAUGAGUGCACCGACUGGCAUGCACAACUUGCUGAUUUGGAUGUGAAAUCAAUAGGACUUGAGGUGUCUUUGUCGUGAUAAUACAUAUAGUUCUUCUUUAUCUGAGAGACAUUAUAUUUUUUGGUCAAUACUGCGUUUCCCAGUGUAGCAGCACAAUCUCUUUCCUCCUCAAGAAGUUCCAUGGCCUCGGAUGGCUCUGAGCAGCACUGUGAAGGCCCAGUGCACCAAGCUGAGUCCAAUUAACACAGUGAAUACUUGCAAUAUAUUUUUCCCAAUUUUCUUGUAUUUAAAAACAAUACACCUUUUCUUUGUAUUUUCUUUCAAACACUUUUGAAAUACUGAAAGGAGGUAAAUAUAUGAAUCUUAUUCUUAGGGGAUUGCGCUGAAUAACGCCUGGAAUUAAUUAAGGUUUUUGUUGUGAUAGUAAGUUCAUACAGAAGUAGAAAUCAAGGGUCACGAAAAUUGCAAAGAAUCCAUGCAGAGCCAAAUGAUUGAUGUGAGUGACUGAUGUGUGAGCUGCGGAGCUAACUAAUCCUCCUUCAGCCUCACCUCACUGCUACUCACAGCUAAGAAUUAAAUCUGAAGAUGGAUUUGAUGAUGUCUCCAGGCUUCAGGUACAUGUUGGAGCUGGGAAUUGAGGCCCCUCAUGCUGCUGAAGACAGUAUGGACCACAGGCCGGUGAGGGGACAUCAGUGACAGAUACAGCAGGCAGGAGCCACAGUGCCUCACCCUUGCCUGCUGGCCCCAGUGCCUUCCCCAGCGAGGCUGUUCCCUGCUUUGGCCAUGAUGGGAGCACGAGGGACCAGGAGAAACAGUGCCCAUGUUUUGCCAUCUCUCCGUGGAGUUGAAUAAUCAUCUGAUUUACAGAGGAUCUGUAACAGAAGUGGUCAACAAGGGAAGGCUCCAAGAGCGCCUUAAAAUCUCUCCACUGAGCUGCUGUUGCGUCCUCAUGAUCAGCUCCCUGCCUUGGGCUGGUUUCAGCCUGCCAAAGCCUCCCAGCUCCUGGUUUCGCUGGGCUUCCUCAGCUGUUUGUCCUUGUGGGUAAGAGCUCCUGGCAAAUUAAAAGGCUUCCUGCUGAAGGCUUCACCCUGAUGUAUCUCAGCCUCCUCUGAAUAGAAUUUAUUUUUUUUCUACAUUACCAGAUCUAUUAUUUUUCAAGGCUAUCCCUUUGGGGUGAUUUAGGGAGGUGGUUGUCAGGCCAAUCACCUAUUUUCUUUUAGAUCUGAUUCUCACUUAGAACGCCAUAGUUAAUCUCUCUUAUUAUCCAUAGAAGUACUCAGAUGAUUUUGUUUAGUCACAUCAAUCAAUGAUUAUUUCAAGUUGUCAUGACUUUUCUCCGGACAACCAGAAAAACUUUAAAAAAAAAAACAACAAAAAACCCCCUAUUAUUCGGUUUUCAUUAAGGGAGUAAGCCUGUAAAAAGCAGAAUUUUUAAUGGAUAAUUGGUGGAGGUUUAAGAAAGCAUUCCAAAUGGAUUUUAUGAUCAGGUGCUUCUUUAUAGCCUUUAUAUUCACUGAGGGUAACAGAUUCAAUUUGAAGGGGGAUGUGAAGGUCACUGCAACGCUGAACUGCUCUGGAAUGAAGGACUGACAUAAAGGUUCAGCCAUAAAAUGGCAGCUACAAUUUACAGAAAUUCUUUUAGGCAGCAUGGUUUACUACGCGCCAUGAAUGAAACAGUUUAUAUCCAUUCCUCGGCAAAGCUGGAGGCAAUAUCCUAGAGAUGGUUUAUAAAAGGCAAUUACGAAUUUUCUUGGAAAUUUUUGAUUCCAACUUUGCAAACCUUUGAGGCAGUCAUAAAAGUCUGACCCAAUGGAAGCUGCAUAGUGCUCAUUCUCUGAGAUUUGAAGUUAGCUUUGCACUCUGCGUAGUUGUUCAUUAAACUGGUGGAGAAUGAUGUAGAUCCACACGCUUCGGGAUCUGUCUUUCACUCUUAUUUGUAAACAGCCUCAUAAACUAAUGAACAGAGAUCUCAAUUUCACAGCACAGUUAGAAAGGGAGAGGGGAUGAGAUGAACUCGUGUGACAAUUGUAUCUUGGGCCUCAUUGUGUUAUUAUUUAGUAUAUCAGAAGCAGAACUGGAGCACUUUGUAUGGGCUAAGGGUAGUUCUGGAUGGGGCGGGCAGUCGAUUUCAGCACAAAAGAAGGAACAUCGUGCUUAGCAAUUUGAGCUAAACUUGUGCCCCUGGGGAGGAGGUCUACUGUGUUAGCAGGGGCUGGGUGGUGAAAAGGGAGGGGCCUGGAUAAAUGUAGGAGAUGCUUCAUAAUUUCUAAGGUAUGGGAUGAGCCAGAGCCCAAAGGGCAUCUGGUAUGGCAGGUACACCCUCCUCAGGAAAGAGUUUAUUUCCUGCCAGCUCUUACCCCUCAAGCAUAGUCUUGUGCUAUUCAUGUUUUGCCCACAUCUCAGUACUGCAGUCAUCCCUCUGGUACUUGAGCAAACAGGCUGAGAGAGGACACUUGCUCCUGCCCCAUAAAACAUCUUCUGCUUGGGGCUGUACCUGCCCUGACUAGCACCCUGCAGGAACUGGGGAGUGCCUGGAGAAAGACCUCAGGGGCUGUAAAGAGUAGCAGCAGAAAUGCCCGUGGUGUGUCCAGACCAAGCCCAUGAAGGCAAACUGAACAAGGAUAGCUUAUAAAUGGUUUUACUUUUACUAAAAUUUGAUACCCAUGACUUUUAACUGGUUAGAAAUAACUACUUACAUGCCCUUACUUACAUGCCAACUCACUGAUUGUUUAAGACCAGAAACAAAUAAUUCUGCUACAUGUAGCAAUUAAUAGCCUUUUAAUAGCCUUCAGUGCUGGUUUUCAGGAAAUAAUGUCUUACUAUUAACAUUCCUGUAAAACCAUUAGUCCUAAAUGCAUGUAAUUGAUGGCAGUACUAAUGUUUGUAAAAUGAACUGAGGCUGAUUUAUAAGACUGAUAAUAAAAUAGUUCAGUAAAUGGCUUUGAUCUAAUAGCUGUGAAAAAAGUACACACACCUAAAAGAUUAUCCUUGCAGAUAUCCGUCGUCCUUUCAACUUUUACUAGCUUCAGACGCAAUGAUUUGGAAGGGAAGAAUCCCAGCUAAAUAUUUAUUGAUGGGGAUGACCACUGAUCAGUUACACUCUAUUCUCCUUCUAAAUACGAACAUCCAGUAGUACACUGACUCCUCUGUCCAUUUUAAGUGCAACUUUAUUCCUUGCUAUUGAGUGAGAUGAAAGAAC